UUGUGCCCACAUUGUGUUGAAACACCAGUUCCCAUACAAUCAUGAAAGUUAAGCAACAUCAAGCUUGGUGAGUACCUAGAUGGGUGACCACUUGGGAAUAGCAGGUGAUGCAAG
Acanthosepion pharaonis is the source of this 114-nucleotide non-coding RNA. The record is from the annotation of a GenBank genome assembly. NCBI's taxonomy places the organism in Eukaryota, Metazoa, Mollusca, Cephalopoda, Sepiida, Sepiidae.